Cucurbita maxima (winter squash) is the source of this 1223-nucleotide long non-coding RNA. RefSeq lists it as uncharacterized. The transcript is spliced from 5 exons. The record is from RefSeq and is a predicted model, not a curated record. NCBI's taxonomy places the organism in Eukaryota, Viridiplantae, Streptophyta, Magnoliopsida, Cucurbitales, Cucurbitaceae.
CAGAGCCAAAUGGUCUUCGGAGCCGUUACCCCCGGCUUAUUCGGACGCCAGCUGUCUCGGCCCUGCGGGAUCAUAUAUAUAUCCCUCCCGCACUCACACUCUCUUCUACAGGACACAUUCUCACACUAGAAUCAGAGCGCUCCAUCAACGGCCUCUUCCCUUCCGAACGUUCGUUGCCGAAUUCAAACGCUAGAUAAUUACCUAGCAAUCGGAGGAAGAGACAGCAGAAUCGAAAGGAGUUUCUCGCCUGAUCCCGGUGAUGAAAAAUAGAGAAGAGAAGAGAACGACGAACUCUUAUGUCAUUGAGAUUGGUUCCGAUAACAGAGUGGGGAAGAACAAAGCAGUUGCUCUUGAUGAAGUGAUUGCUUGGGCAAAAGAAAACCAGUUGGUCCUGUCAAUUCAGGCCGGUGGGAGAUUUUCGCAUCUGCUAGGAAUACUGAUUUGCAUUUAGAUUCAUCUAAAAGAUCAAGGAAAAAGUACUCUUCUCCACUUUUUAAACAAUGAUGGCAAUCAAUUUGUUGAAAUCGAAGGAUGGUCCGAUUCAUGUAACAUUUGUUGUAAACAAUUUGGGAUGCAUGAAAUAUAACCACACAACGCACUAAGAUGGAAAUGGAGGACAUAGAUGGAGAUAAUAAAGUUGAGGUCAAGGAAUCCAACUCUAGUUGCUACGUUCAACACUCCAUCACGUAAGAAAUUAUCUGUUUGACAUCAUAAACUACCUUAUGUGUUGCCUAGAUCUCAUGAGAAUUACGUUAUUGGCAAUGUUGUGGUCCUACUAAUGUUAGAUUCCUAUAUUUAAUCUUUAUUGUAUCUUUGUUUUUUCCUUUUAAUGUUCCUUGUGUUCUACUGAUAUCAUGUUUUUGGUUCAAGAGUAAACGAUUAAAAUGUUAAAGUCGAAAGGGUUCAUGAGUAAGAAAUUAAAUUAGGUUUUUCUAUUUUAUGAGUGUUUUAGGUAGUUAGUAAAACCGAGUGAAAAGCCAGACUUCUGCAAUUAUAAUAAACCCCAUGAAUCUAUCUCAACGUUCCAAUUUCCAAAGAGACAAUGUAAAACUCAAUGAUCAAAGAAUUCCAUUUCAAAUCAAUCAAACAAUUAGGAGCACAUCAUUGGUCAUUACUUACUCCACAUUCGGCAUAAGAGAAACCGUGUCACAACAUAUAGGCGAAUUGCCCACAAAAGUUGUAGAAAACAGACAGACCUAAGUAACAAAACGAACUAGAACAAA